CCGGGGCGGAGGAGGCUUCGUCCUCCCCGGCCGGGGCUCUCCUCAUCCCCCGGCCGCAGGGCUCGGGCCGGGCCGGUGGGCAGAGCUUUCAGAUGGUGCCCCAUCAGAAACAACCUUACUGGAAAUUGGCGAGUACUGAGCAGAAUCAGACUCUGUGUGAGUCCUGCAUAAUAAUUGCCCUCUACAGCAGAACUACCACGAUGUAUGGAUCCUACUCAUUCUCAUCCCAGAAUGUGACCUACUUGCUCAAGAUACAGAGUGUCCUCAUGGAAGUUACUGGGAUGAACCUGAACAGCUACAAGGCAUUAGAGAGGCUCUCACAAGCUGAAGGACAGAAAUGGCCAGUCAGCAGCUAGAGAAUAUUGUCACAAAGCAAUCCAAGUGGACUGAUAGAGUGCUUCCAAAACACAAGCCCAGAGCUUAAUUUUUUUAACUGAAAUGGACACUUAAAAACUGUGGUUUCAACAGAAACUGAAGUUUGGUACUUCAUUUUGUCAUUAUUCUUCUUGUCAGCCCUUUGGUUUCCCCCAGGCAAUAAUUAACAGCUGUUCUUUAAGUUCCAUGAUGAUUAAAGCUGUUCCUCACUUCUAAGUGCUAAUUACCCUUUUCUCUAAAAACAUCUAGCAUUUUAAUGUAAUCGGGGUAUUUUAAUUCUUAUGAGACUUAGGAAGGUCCACAUACUUUUAACAACUUAGAUCUAUUGAUCUGAUUUAAAAAAAAUAGAUAUAUUUUCUAUUGCUUUCUAUGUCCUUGCCUUCUAUGUCUGGAAUCCAUUUUCAGGGCAGAGUAGAAGGAGUUUCUGGUGGAAGUUAAGAAAAAGAUAUGUAUUUUCUGACUCAACAGGGCUCUUUGUUUUCAAGCAAUAGAAAUAAAGAGGAUCUCUCUUGAGUUUCCUUUAAUUAUAAGCCUGAGGGUAGAGGGAAAGGAGGAGUGAUUUUUGUUUCUCAAUAUGAUGUUUGUGAUUUAGUUCUGCCUGGAGGAGUUGCUGUUUUGUUGCUAAAUUAUAAUUGCACCUUUCCUGUGGCUAUGGAGGAGAUUUGGCUGUGUUACACUUCUGAUUUGUGAUUGUCCUCCUUUUUCUGUGGGAGCUCUCUAAAAAGGUAAAUGGGAGUUAUAUCUGUGACUUAAAUGUGCUACUUUCCCUCCUUCACAAUCGUAAGGAUUUCCUGUUGGUAUGAACCAGAGCUGAAUGUCAAGUCAGUUCUUGCAGUCUGGCUUUUUCAUUCUAGAGAAAACAUGAUACAUUUGAAAUGUAUUUGAAAUAUCAUUUUCUCAUUAGAUCGUUAGGUUAUGCAAGGUGGAGGAUGGCAGUUACCCUUAAAGCUAUUUAUUACUGUGGUUGUGAAUCUAAUGAGGGAAGAUGGGAUUCAAGAAGGGACAUGAUAAAAGUUUUUGUAGAAGUGGGUAUAGUCUGGAUGAUGAAGGUAUAUGAGAAAAUUAAUGUUUAAAAAAAAGUUCACAAAUCCCUCAGUGUGUACAGUUCUGCUAUUACUUAUGAACAGCCCUUGAUCAAGUGUAGGCACUAAGUAUCCUGUAGUUUUCUUCUUCAUGGGAGUCUCCUGUUUUUCUAGCAGCACCAAAGUCAAGAAUUCGUGGCUUUUUGAGAAAUGAAGAAAUUAUUUUAUCUUAUUCCUUAGGUGAUAACUUCCUUUCUCUGAGCAAGUGUAAGCAGAAUUAUCAGUGAUCCUGAGCAUUUUUCUUUUCAGGUAGAAAAGAGUAGUUAAGAUGUGAGCAAGAAACUUAGAAAAUGUACAGUCUACUACAGGGUGUUUUAGACAGGGUAAGAGCUUGCUAUUCAUGGAGUUCCUCCUUCAGCUCUAGUGGUGUAAAGCUAGCUCCUGCUACAUGGAAAAAUUGCUCCAGCACAUGCAAAAAAAAAAAAAUUCAAGAAGCUUGGAUUUAUUUGAAGUAACACCAACAUAGAUCUGGGAUGAUGCCAUUAACAGCACUGCAGUCAAGCUGUCUAAAAGGCUAUCUAAAGUGUCUUUAAGUGGCUGAGCCAGAAAUACUGUUGGGGUCAUCGUGGUUUCUACCAGUAUUUCAACAAGCAAAUGACCAAUGAACAUACAGGCAAAUUCCAAGUGAUGACAGACACGGAUGAACGUGAGUAAAAUACACUCACUUCAGCUGAAAGAUGAAGCACCACAAAGUGAUACCUCUUUGGAGUGAGGAAAUUAAAGCUAGAGCGUCAGAAAGUAGCAUUCUUGAUAUUAUAGCCAUCUUAGGUUCCUACCAGCCCAAGUGUCCAACCAACACUACCUUCUUCAAAUGGCUUAAAGUCCCAAUAGGGAUGAAAGACAAAGGGAAUUCAAGGGAAGCAUCAGCUCUUUUAACAGCCAGGAAAGCUAGCAUUAAGGAUUGCUAAGUUGUAGUGAAGAUGAGAAUUGCACCUUCAUCUCUGUGUCCCUGGUCACCUCUUCAGCAGCAAAACUCCAGCCUUUUUUCUUAAACUAGAAUGGGCAUCGUUUAAAGACAAAAUGAGAAAAAUUGCUAAGUUAUGGACUGAAUAGCAGCAGUGUGAUUUUUCUAUGAAUCCAGGCACCUGCAAGGUAUCAAAGCCAAAGGCAUUAGUAUUUUUGGAAAAUGGGACCAAGGAUGUCAAGCAAGGAGCCAGCAGUCACAAACUGUUUAAUUCAUGCUGAUUUUCCCAGAACUGUAUCCAAGGAGAAUGUCACACUUUUCCGUUCUCAAGUUCAACCUUAUCUCUGAGUGCAUCAGCAAGUUUCACCUCUUCUCCUAUAACCCAAGCCAAGAAGAUCUAAGCAUAGGUUUUGUAAACAAGUAAAUUAGGACUCACACCUUCUACUGAACAGGAGGAAAAAAGCCAAAACAGAAGCCAUUAUGUAAAGACCAACAGAUGGAUAUAUGAGUGAGGGCGAGUUGGAUUUGCAAGGAUCUCACAGUACAAGAGUGGGGUUUAUAUCACCCCUGUUUCCUGUUGCAGCAGGAGGGUUUCUUCACUGAAAUGAACCUGAAACAAAUAGAAGCUGAGUUACCCACUUCAAGAUCAGCAAAGGUGACCUUCAUAGCAUGAACAGGAAAAGCAGGGAGAGAAUAGUAACACUAAGCCACUCAGUGGUGAUGAGUUUACCACCUAGCUACAACAUUUUUGACACGCAGCUGGAUAUGCUGAUCGCAGAUGAAGCCAAGAUUGUUACAGUAAUCACCGUAGCACAGCUACUGAAGCUGCCCCAUAAGGAAGCGUGCAACAAAGGUAAGAGAAGGGGAGAAAACAGUAGACACUGGAAAACUAUUUGUGAAAUGCUGGCAAAAGAACAACCACCAUUACCACUAAACCCACAUGCGUUCCUAUAAAGAUGGCAGGUAUACACCCAUACCUGUAGGCAGGCAUUAUCAAGGGGCCAACUCCUAGCUGGUGUUGGUAUCUAAUCAAAAGGUCAGCAGUAAUAAUAAUAAUAAAACAGAAAUAGUUCUCUGAAGCAAUAGUAUAUUCUUAGAUGCUAAAUUAUUUAUUACACCACAGAGCACCAUCCAACAGCAGGGGCGGGGGAGCGCCAUGGAGUCCCUCCUGCAAAUUAAGUGGUCUAAUAGUAAGACACAAAACAAGCUUAGAGUAAAAUCUGUAACAUUGGAAAAGAAA
Aquila chrysaetos chrysaetos is the source of this 3601-nucleotide long non-coding RNA. RefSeq lists it as uncharacterized. The transcript has 6 exons. The record is from RefSeq and is a predicted model, not a curated record. Lineage: Eukaryota; Metazoa; Chordata; Aves; Accipitriformes; Accipitridae.